GUUGGUAGACUUGACGGAAACGGGAAGAAGUGGAACCAUGAAUAACAUAGGACCUUCUGACUGCUAAUUUGAACUCCACAAGCUUCUUCCUGUUGAUAUGGCACCCUCAGCGAAACUGCGGAUAAUUUUUGGGGAGGAUGAUGUCCACAAACUACUUUUACCUGCAGGAAUCCCAAGCACACUUCAGGACCUCA
Molecule: long non-coding RNA, 194 nt
Organism: Pelmatolapia mariae (spotted tilapia)
Lineage: Eukaryota; Metazoa; Chordata; Actinopteri; Cichliformes; Cichlidae
Exons: 3
Source: RefSeq, a predicted model, not a curated record